UACAGAGGUCUCAAGCGUUGUUCGGAUUCAUUGGGCGUAAAGGGUGCGUAGGCGGCGCGGUAAGUCGGAUGUGAAAUCUCGGAGCUUAACUCCGAAACUGCAUUCGAUACUGCCGUGCUUGAGGACUGGAGAGGAGACUGGAAUUUACGGUGUAGCGGUGAAAUGCGUAGAUAUCGCAAGGAAGACCAGUGGCGAAGGCGGGUCUCUGGACAGUUCCUGACGCUGAGGCACGAAGGCCAGGGGAGCAAACGGG
This 253-nucleotide ribosomal RNA is filed under the name uncultured bacterium. RNAcentral describes it as "partial 16S ribosomal RNA". It matches the Rfam family "Bacterial small subunit ribosomal RNA", at positions 524 to 776 of the family's 1533-position model. The record is from RNAcentral.